AUACACUGUUAUUAACUAUAUAGUUACUCUACCCUGCUAUUAAACAUUGGAACUUAUUCUUUCUAUUUAACUAUGUUUGUACACAUUGACCAAGCUCUCUUCAU
Nomascus leucogenys (northern white-cheeked gibbon) is the source of this 104-nucleotide long non-coding RNA. RefSeq lists it as uncharacterized. The record is from RefSeq and is a predicted model, not a curated record. Lineage: Eukaryota; Metazoa; Chordata; Mammalia; Primates; Hylobatidae. The transcript is spliced from 3 exons.